Molecule: long non-coding RNA, 2820 nt
Organism: Nymphaea colorata (pocket water lily)
Lineage: Eukaryota; Viridiplantae; Streptophyta; Magnoliopsida; Nymphaeales; Nymphaeaceae
Exons: 5
Source: RefSeq, a predicted model, not a curated record
UCUGCCCGUUAGGGCAUAAUCUAUUUUUCACUUUUUGUCUUUGCUCGUGGAUGAGGCGCCAAUCCUCUCGCAGAAGCUCUCCCGCAAUGCAGCUGCUCAUUCUCGUAACGCAUGUCUGCAUCAGCUCCUCCCCCGCAUCUCUGUCGAGUUAUGACUUGUGACCUAAAUCUGCUGAUGGCGGGUCAAAUUUGUCAUGCGAAAGUGAAGGCUCAAUGAGGCAGCACAUUGUUGUAGACAGGCUUUAGCAGUCGUUAUCCGGUAUGCAUUUUUUUCCCUUUUUUCUUUCUUUCCUUCUUAAUUGGUGGACUGCACUUGUCUAAGACGGUCUUAUUGUAAAAAAAUGUUUCCCCUUAAUGCAACACCAAUUAAUUGUCAUGGUAACCUUUGGAAAUACAAUGAAGGUUGAUGGUCCAGUACAAGAAGUGAGUUACUUUGUUCUUUGAAGAGGAAAUCUGUUUUGUAUAAAUUCUAUAGAAUAACAUAGUGUGAUUUCUUCUUUUUAUUUGUAUUAUUCUUGCCCUGUGUGCUUGAGUGUUGUAUGUUCAUCUUUGGUGCAAGCAUUUUGUGUUUUGAUCUUAUUGCACGUGAUUAUAGUUUUCUGAAUUUUGUGGGUUUUUUACUGACCUUUAAUAGUUUAAUUAGGAAAAAUUGUUUUUGAGAACUUUUAUUCUGUUCUACUUUGUACAGAAAUUGGGAAGAAUAAAAAAAUACCAAAAUUGUUCAAAAAAUUCUGAAUUUUGGUUUUCUAGAAUCCUCUCCUUCUGUAGAGUAAAAAACUCCUUAGUUUUCAUAUCGGUUCUUUACAAUAUAAUGUCUUUUUGACCCAGAUUUGUGAACCUGUCAGAAGUCGAAGAGUCUGCCUCUUGCUCAGUCUACCCAUCUUGUUUUGCAUUCACCCAUCUCUUUAGGGAGUAGAGUUCAUGCCUCCUCGUGAUAUACCAUUUGAUGUCAAGAACAUUUGUAAAGUAAUUUUUUUUUUAAUUUUGUUUAAAAACAUUUUAAAAAUGUCUUCGCCCAUGAUGAUAUGUCUUUGCUUUACUCUUAGUAUCUUCUCGAGUAGGAGAAACUUUCAAGUUUUUGUUGUCAAGCAAUGGAAGAGGAAAGCUGAAAAAAUCCUGGAUCUGAACAGUAAGGAAAACUCCUAUGAAGCUGAGAAAGUUAAGAAUAGGAAAUGCUAUUGACUCUGGUGUUCAAAAAUUUGCAAGGAUCUAAUAUGAAUAUAUGCUGAGAGAGAAAGCCACAAUGCUCUGUAAGAUCUUGGCAGGUAGCAAAAUGAGUGUUGAGAGAUGGGCUCGAGGCUUGUGUAGUUGUUCCUCUGAGUCAGUAAUCAAGAGUACCGGGUAGGCAUAAAGCUGAUUUAUGUCUAUUUCGCGAAGAUAAUGACUUACGAACCUUUGGCUCGUCGAAAACCCGUAAGGUGAAGCGGGUUGGACACGUGACAAAGCUACACAUAACCACCAAAGCGGUGGAGCUUCGUAGUAGCCUUUGAGGUGGUGAGGUAUUCCCUCAAAGGUGAAGGUCGGCCUGAAAAAAAAAUCAAAGAAAAAAAAAUAGCAAAAAGCUAAAUGCAAAAGAAAGAACAAAAAAACUAAAAAAAAAAAAAAACAAAAGGUGCCUGCCAAGAGAUGAAAGACAUGAAGGUUGAACUCGCAGGAUUUGAAUGUAACGAUCUUUUGUGGAUGUGCAAAUUUGGGGUCAAUAUCUGCUCCUUUUUUUUAUUACCUAAGAUGUCGAGGAUGAUUCCUUUAUGUUCACAUUUUGGAAAUUGAAAGAUAUCCCUUCUAGAUGUUCGACGACAUUGAUGCGAAAUGAAUCCUAAUCCUUGUAUGGUACUAUGGAUAAGUGAAUGACAUAUUACUUGCACAACACGAGCACUCAAGCUUAUGAGUUAAAGUGAUAAUUUUGAACUAUUUCAAAGUCAAAACUUGACAUCUCUUGUUAUAUUUUGAGGUUUUCUUGGCAUAAGAGGAACUAACCAAUCCCCUUUGGUCUUGAAAGGUGUUUGCCAUUUCAUUAACAAACUACUAGUCCAUGGAACCCUUCAAACCUAGUCCACUUAUGCUGAAUGUGACAAUUUGUCCAUCUUUUCUUUUGUCUUAGGAGAGGCACAUCAUUUGGGAACUGACCCAUCUUAACCGAGUGUCUUCGACCCGUUGAAAUGUCUUCAACCUGUUUUUCAAUGACAUAACCUAGACUUAGGGUUGAGGCUAUCAUGGAAGAUCUCUUAUCUGUUUUCAAAAGAACUGGUCGAUUUUGAACUGUGACAUUUUUGAAAAGUUCUAUCAUUUGAAGUUGCAUGAGUUUUGUUCUUGGCUUCAUCUAAUAUUUGUCUUGGCUUGCAAUACAUGGUUUUGCAAAAUGAGGUGGAGUUAUUCUUCAUCGCCACCAACUACCCACCCAUGCCUUUGCUUCGACAGUUGGGUCCUUUAUGGUUUCGGACCAGGUGGGAUAUGGCUGAGUGGUGUAUUAGUGCAGCCUAGAAGGCUAGAAUUGUGGCUUAUGGGCCCACUGUUCAAAUGUGGGACAUUUGCAUUGUACUCACCAACUGAUAUGCAAGCAUGUAAAGCUCUGUCUUCUUCCAAACCAAUUUUCAUCUGAUGCUCGUAUCAAGUUCAUGCUGAGUGGUGUAUUAAUGCAGCCUAGAAGGCUAGAACUGUGGCUUAUGGGCCCACUGUUCAAAUGUGGGACAUUUGCAUUGUACUCACUGAUAUGCAAGCAUGUAAAGCUCUGUCUUCUUCCAAACCAAUUUUCAUCUGAUGCUCGUAUCAAGGUGCCACAUCCACAGCUUGGGAUGUCAAUAACGAUUAAAGAAAUGAGGUA